This 310-nucleotide ribosomal RNA is filed under the name uncultured eukaryote. Its description in RNAcentral is "partial 18S ribosomal RNA". It matches the Rfam family "Eukaryotic small subunit ribosomal RNA", at positions 1470 to 1796 of the family's 1831-position model. The record is from RNAcentral.
CCCUUAGAUGUUCUGGGCAGCACGCGCGCUACAAUGGUCUUCGCAAACGGAUGCAUUCUCGAAGGAGAAUGCCAAUCUUGGAAUCUAUGCCUUGGUCGGGACAGUUGCUUGCAAUUUUUCGACUCGAACCAGGAAUUCCUUGUAAUCGUGAUUCAUCACAUCACGAUGAAUACGUCCCUGCCCUUUGUACACACCGCCCGUCGCUCCUACCGAUUGAAUGGUCCGGUGAAGCCUCCGGAUUGGCGCGCACCUCGGUGCCGCCGAGAAGUUGGCUAAACCUUACCAUUUAGAGGAAGGUGAAGUCGUAACA